GUGGGGAAUUUUGGACAAUGGGCGAAAGCCUGAUCCAGCAAUGCCGCGUGCAGGAUGAAGGCCCUCGGGUUGUAAACUGCUUUUGUACGGAACGAAAAGCCUGGGGCUAAUAUCCCCGGGUCAUGACGGUACCGUAAGAAUAAGCACCGGCUAACUACGUGCCAGCAGCCGCGGUAAUACGUAGGGUGCAAGCGUUAAUCGGAAUUACUGGGCGUAAAGCGUGCGCAGGCGGUUUUGUAAGACAGUGGUGAAAUCCCCGGGCUCAACCUGGGAACUGCCAUUGUGACUGCAAAGCUAGAGUGCGGCAGAGGGGGAUGGAAUUCCGCGUGUAGCAGUGAAAUGCGUAGAUAUGCGGAGGAACACCGAUGGCGAAGGCAAUCCCCUGGGCCUGCACUGACGCUCAUGCACGAAAGCGUGGGGAGCAAACAGG
Molecule: ribosomal RNA, 430 nt
Filed under: uncultured Comamonas sp.
Lineage: Bacteria; Pseudomonadati; Pseudomonadota; Betaproteobacteria; Burkholderiales; Comamonadaceae
Description: bacterial SSU rRNA
Rfam family: Bacterial small subunit ribosomal RNA
Source: RNAcentral